RNAcentral lists this transfer RNA (77 nucleotides) under Desulfovibrio desulfuricans. RNAcentral describes it as "tRNA-Arg". It matches the Rfam family "tRNA". Rfam says of the family: Transfer RNA (tRNA) molecules are approximately 80 nucleotides in length. Their secondary structure includes four short double-helical elements and three loops (D, anti-codon, and T loops). RNAcentral also lists the same sequence under 5 other names. Lineage: Bacteria; Pseudomonadati; Thermodesulfobacteriota; Desulfovibrionia; Desulfovibrionales; Desulfovibrionaceae. The record is from RNAcentral.
GGGCAAUUAGCUCAGAUGGAUAGAGCGUUGGCCUCCGGAGCCAAAGGCCGCAAGUUCGAAUCUUGCAUUGCCCACCA